Molecule: long non-coding RNA, 603 nt
Organism: Homarus americanus (American lobster)
Lineage: Eukaryota; Metazoa; Arthropoda; Malacostraca; Decapoda; Nephropidae
Exons: 2
Source: RefSeq, a predicted model, not a curated record
ACCACCCUUACCACUGUCUACCACCCUUACCAUCUACCAUUUCUUAUCAUUUAAUCAGAAGAUAAAUUUACCGAAGGAGUGUGUGGUGAACCCAAGGACGUGGUGCUGGACUGGUCGGCGUCACUGGGGCCCACAGAACCUCAUCGCUAUCUUAGUAACCCCUUAUAACAACUAUCCCAUUGGUGACCUCGGGAACACACGAAUCUUCAACAAGCAAGAGGUUACAGUUCCUACCUGUUUAAUCUCCAACAUGGCAGUCUUGAAGGCCAGGAAGUCUGUGAAGGUGAUGAGCAGAUCAAACACUUCCCCGUCUAGAGCAUGAGAGGCUGAUAACUCCUGCAGGAAAGCCGCCAUCUUGAAUCCACUCUCGCGGGCGGAUAAUUCUCUCUCUAUGUGGCCCUCGAUCAAGCUAGUCUACGGGAGAUGUGUCUUUGUGAGAUGAUAUUUACAACUGUGUUAACAGAUAGAAUUUCUUCCUGAAUCUAAAUUCUCAUAUUCCACAAAGUCCUUCAAUAAUCAUUACACUAUAUAAUUUUUUGCUACAUCUGAUCUAAAUUUUAUAACCUAACCUAACAUGAUGACAAUUAUAACCAAAAUAUAUUA